AGGUCUCCAACAUCAAUUCGGAGUUUGGCCGACCGACCUGUCGACCCUAAAAUGGCUCUCGUAUCUUGCAACAUUUAAGAAUAACAAUCAGUCUCUUGUAAUGCUUUCAUUCUGUUAAUAUUGUUUAAUUCAAUAUUUGAUUUGCCAUCUUUAAUGCCUUUUAAAAUUAAAAUGAUUCCAAAAUACGAAUGCUUGGUACUGAGGUAAAAGUUAUAUAUCUAGAAAAACUAAAAAAAUCUACUAGCAAUUAUUUACACCUAGUAGAAUAAACAAACAAUUUGUAAAUUAUCACGAUCGAAUAGAAACAUUUGAGCCACAGAUUGAAUCAAUGGAUAAAGAUCAAGAUAAAAGAUUCUCAAGAUUCACAAGAGUGACUAAUAAACCAGUUUGAUCUAAAUAUGCAUUUCAACAAAUUGUAUAAAUUCAACAACUUGCAAACCUUGAAGCUUCAUAUAAUACAAAUUCAUAUAUGGAACAAUUGAAUCAAGAACGAUAUGUCAUUAAAAAAGACAUCUUCAUCAUUUACAUAAUUAUCAUAUCAACUACUUGGGAAGCUUCCAUCAUUAAUGUUGAACCUCGCUCAAACCGACACUAGACGUAGAGAAUCUACGUACAAAAAAAAUAUUCAAUAAAACGGAUAAGGAAUGCUCUAGAAAUCAAGUUAAUUCGUAUUCCACUGUAAUAUAAACAAUACAUUUAUUUGGAUUCUACCAAUUGUCAACAUAAAUGUAAUGUCUUACAAGCGUAUCAUUCUUAUGAAAGAGCCUACAAUCCGGAAUCUUACAGGUCGAAUAUCACAAUAGCAGCAUGAAUAACUACAUUAAUUUGUCCAAUGAUUUACAAGGUAUACCGUCAUCGUUACUGGAACAACAUGCUAUGUAUCCAAAUAUAUGUUGCUGCAAAACGUCACUCAGCCUGUAAAAUA
Molecule: non-coding RNA, 925 nt
Organism: Nylanderia fulva
Lineage: Eukaryota; Metazoa; Arthropoda; Insecta; Hymenoptera; Formicidae
Source: RefSeq, a predicted model, not a curated record